Non-coding RNA from Euryarchaeota archaeon TMED103, 184 nucleotides. The record is from Rfam. NCBI's taxonomy places the organism in Archaea, Methanobacteriati, Methanobacteriota.
GGGGGUAUAGUAUAGCUUGGUAGUACCGCGGGCUCCAAUUGCACGGGGAUGACGACAAGUGGGUUUGCUGACAAUUGAUGAACAAUUGGAGCGCCGACCCGUGAGAACCGAGAACUGAAGCCUUUUCACGAACGCUGAAGUCAGAAGAAACCCGCUAGGGGGGGUUCAAAUCCCUCUGCCCCCA